GCUUACGGACACACCGGCCUGAGUACCCCUGAUCUCGUCCGAUCUCGGAAGCUAAGCAGGGUCGGGCCUGUUAGUACUUGGAUGGGAGACCGCCUGGGAAUACCAGGUGCUGUAAGCU
RNAcentral lists this ribosomal RNA (118 nucleotides) under Oncorhynchus mykiss (rainbow trout). The record is from RNAcentral. Lineage: Eukaryota; Metazoa; Chordata; Actinopteri; Salmoniformes; Salmonidae.